This is a transfer RNA of Archaeoglobus sulfaticallidus PM70-1, 83 nucleotides long. It matches the Rfam family "tRNA". Rfam says of the family: Transfer RNA (tRNA) molecules are approximately 80 nucleotides in length. Their secondary structure includes four short double-helical elements and three loops (D, anti-codon, and T loops). Further hydrogen bonds mediate the characteristic L-shaped molecular structure. tRNAs have two regions of fundamental functional importance: the anti-codon, which is responsible for specific mRNA codon recognition, and the 3' end, to which the tRNAs corresponding amino acid is attached (by aminoacyl-tRNA synthetases). tRNAs cope with the degeneracy of the genetic code in two manners: having more than one tRNA (with a specific anti-codon) for a particular amino acid; and 'wobble' base-pairing, i.e. permitting non-standard base-pairing at the 3rd anti-codon position. NCBI's taxonomy places the organism in Archaea, Methanobacteriati, Methanobacteriota, Archaeoglobi, Archaeoglobales, Archaeoglobaceae. The record is from Rfam.
GCCGGGGUGGCAGAGAGGCACUGCGCGAGCCUGGAGAGCUCGUGUCCCUUUGGGACGCGUGGGUUCAAGUCCCACCCCCGGCG